This 253-nucleotide ribosomal RNA is filed under the name uncultured bacterium. Its description in RNAcentral is "partial 16S ribosomal RNA". It matches the Rfam family "Bacterial small subunit ribosomal RNA", at positions 524 to 776 of the family's 1533-position model. The record is from RNAcentral.
UACAGAGGUCCCGAGCGUUAGGCGGAAUCACUGGGCUUAAAGCGUGUGUAGGCGGAUCGUUAAGUACCUUGUGAAAUCCCACGGCUUAACCGUGGAGCUGCUUGGUAUACUGGCGGUCUUGAGCCACUUAGGGGCUACCGGAACAAAUGGUGGAGCGGUGAAAUGCGUAGAUAUCAUUUGGAACGCCAAUGGUGAAAACAGGUAGCUGGGAGUGUGCUGACGCUGAGACACGAAAGCCAGGGGAGCAAACGGG